CGAACGGUAACAGCGGAGCUUGCUCCGGCUGACGAGUGACGGACGGGUGAGUAACGCGUAGGAAUCUGCCCAGUAGUGGGGGAUAGCCCGGGGAAACCCGGAUUAAUACCGCAUACGCCCUACGGGGGAAAGGCCGGGAUCUUCGGACCGGUCACUAUUGGAGGAGCCUGCGUUGGAUUAGCUAGUUGGUAGGGUAAAGGCCUACCAAGGCUACGAUCCAUAGCUGGUCUGAGAGGACGAUCAGCCACACUGGAACUGAGACACGGUCCAGACUCCUACGGGAGGCAGCAGUACGGAAUAUUGUCCGAUGGGCGCAAGCCUGAGACAGCCAUGCCGCGUGUGUGAAGAAGGCCCUAGGGUUGUAAAGCACUUUCAGCAGGGAGGAAAAUGGCCGGAUUAAUACCCCGGGUUUUUGACGUUACCUGCAGAAGAAGAUCCGGCUAACUCCGUGCCAGCAGCCGCGGUAAUACGGAGGGAUCGAACGUUAAUCGGAAUUACUGGGCGUAAAGCGCACGCAGGUGGUUUGUUAAGUGGGAUGUGAAAGCCCCGGGCUUAACCUGGGAACUGCAUUCCGAACUGACGAACUAGAGUACGAUAGAGGGGGGUAGAAUUCAGAGUGUAGCGGUGAAAUGCGUAGAUAUUCUGAGGAAUACCGGUGGCGAAGGCGGCCCCCUGGAUUGAUACUGACACUCAUGUGCGAAAGCGUGGGGAGCAAACAGGAUUAGAUACCCUGGUAGUCCACGCCGUAAACGAUGUCUGCUAGCCGUUGGGAGGCUUGACCUUUUAGUGGCGAAGCUAACGCGAUAAGUAGACCGCCUGGGGAGUACGGUCGCAAGAUUAAAACUCAAAUGAAUUGACGGGGGCUCGCACAAGCGGUGGAGCAUGUGGUUUAAUUCGAUGCAACGCGAAGAACCUUACCAGGCCUUGACAUCCUGAGACUUUCUAGAGAUAGAUCGGUGCUUCGGGACUCAGUGACAGGUGUGCAUGCUGUCGUCAGCUCGUGUGUGAGAUGUGGGUAAGUCCCGUACGAGCGCACCCUUAUCUUACUAGGCAGCACUUCGGGUGAGAACUUAAGGAGACUUGCGGGUGACAACCGGAGGAUAGAGAAAGAUGAUGUCAGGUCAUCUUGGGCCCUUACGGGCCUGGGGGUUACACACCGGGUUAAAAUGGGGGGGAUACAGAAAGAA
This 1187-nucleotide ribosomal RNA is filed under the name uncultured Gammaproteobacteria bacterium. RNAcentral describes it as "bacterial SSU rRNA". It matches the Rfam family "Bacterial small subunit ribosomal RNA", at positions 63 to 1248 of the family's 1533-position model. Lineage: Bacteria; Pseudomonadati; Pseudomonadota; Gammaproteobacteria. The record is from RNAcentral.